UUCGGAUAAGAGGCUGAAACUCGCCUCUUUGAAGUCGGAAUCGCUAGUAAUCGCAGAUCAGCAUGUUGCGGUGAAUACGUUUCCUGGUCUUGUACACACCGCCCGUCAAACCAUGAGAGUCGCCAACACCCGAAGUCCGCUUUGCGGCCUAAGGUGGGGGAGAUGAUUGGGGUUAAGUCGUAACAAGGUACC
RNAcentral lists this ribosomal RNA (192 nucleotides) under uncultured bacterium. RNAcentral's name for it is "partial 16S ribosomal RNA". It matches the Rfam family "Bacterial small subunit ribosomal RNA", at positions 1292 to 1500 of the family's 1533-position model. The record is from RNAcentral.